GUAUCUGUGGUACAUAUGCUAAAAUUGGAAGAAUGUAGAGAAGAUUAGUAUGGCCCGUGUGGAAGGAUGACAUGCGAAAGUUUGAGGCAUUCCAUCUAUUU
Molecule: small nuclear RNA, 101 nt
Filed under: Trichobilharzia regenti
Lineage: Eukaryota; Metazoa; Platyhelminthes; Trematoda; Strigeidida; Schistosomatidae
Source: RNAcentral